Small nucleolar RNA from Rattus norvegicus (Norway rat), 130 nucleotides. Ensembl annotates it as small nucleolar RNA SNORA17. NCBI's taxonomy places the organism in Eukaryota, Metazoa, Chordata, Mammalia, Rodentia, Muridae. The record is from Ensembl.
CCUGCCCCAGAGUCAUUGCAGAUGUGGCUGCUGUGUCACAUGUGCAUCAGUAAGUGGCAGAGAGGAGAGAGGAUGUGUCUACACUCAGUAUUCUGCCUGUGAACAUCUGAAUGAUUAGAAGCCUAACAUC